RNAcentral lists this ribosomal RNA (449 nucleotides) under uncultured bacterium. RNAcentral describes it as "partial 16S ribosomal RNA". It matches the Rfam family "Bacterial small subunit ribosomal RNA", at positions 28 to 523 of the family's 1533-position model. The record is from RNAcentral.
GAUGAACGCUGGCGGCAUGCCUAACACAUGCAAGUCGAACGAGAUCUUCGGGUCUAGUGGCGCACGGGUGCGUAACGCGUGGGAAUCUGCCCUUUGGUUCGGAAUAACAGUUGGAAACGGCUGCUAAUACCGGAUGAUGACGAAGGUCCAAAGAUUUAUCGCCAGAGGAUGAGCCCGCGUAGGAUUAGCUAGUUGGUGUGGUAAAGGCGCACCAAGGCGACGAUCCUUAGCUGGUCUGAGAGGAUGAUCAGCCACACUGGGACUGAGACACGGCCCAGACUCCUACGGGAGGCAGCAGUGGGGAAUAUUGGACAAUGGGCGAAAGCCUGAUCCAGCAAUGCCGCGUGAGUGAUGAAGGCCUUAGGGUUGUAAAGCUCUUUUACCCGGGAUGAUAAUGACAGUACCGGGAGAAUAAGCUCCGGCUAACUCCGUGCCAGCAGCCGCCGUAA